Molecule: RNA transcript, 5845 nt
Organism: Brassica rapa (field mustard)
Lineage: Eukaryota; Viridiplantae; Streptophyta; Magnoliopsida; Brassicales; Brassicaceae
Gene name: ENHANCER OF AG-4 protein 2
Source: RefSeq, a predicted model, not a curated record
UUUGUUCGAAAGUGAUUUUUAAAGCUAUUUUUACAAUUUUUAUUUUAAUUUUUUAAUAUUUUUUUCUAUUUUUUGAAGUUGUGAAUUGUAUUAUGUUAAAGUUGUGAUUUGUAUUUUAUUUCAUUCUUCAAUUUGAGUUUUUGUAUGUGAGUGUAUUUUAUUACAUUGAUUUCAAAAAUCUUAUGGGUAUAGAUGAUAUUCUCACAAUUGAGUACUAUGAGUAAAAACAAAGAAAAUUUACAUCCCAAUAACAAUAGAUUUUAAUAGAAUCUUAAAAUCAAUGAAAACUAAACUUUUCCAAUAACAAAAGAUUUUUAGUGGAAUUUAAAAAUUAUCUCCCCAAUAACAAUGAAUUUUAUUUAGAUUUUAAAAAUUCAUAAACCAAUAACAAUGAAAUCUAAAAAUUUAAUAAUUUCUUUAGAAUUUUUUGUCCAAUAACCCCUCCUAAAUAUACAAUAACCAUGUUAAGCAACUCAUAAAUUUGCAAGCAGAUAUAUUAAAUGUAAUUAAUGUAUGUAGAAAUUAUCUAAAUAUUAUGUUCAGUUUAUAAAUAUAAAUGUUGCCUUAUAAAUAUAGUGUAAUGUUUCAUUAUAGCAUUUACGUGAUUUCUCUAGUAGCGUAGUUCCAUUCAAAUAAGGACUACGAGGAGAGCUCUGUUGUUGACACCUCGGAACUAAAAUUUAAGUUACAACUUAAUAAUGUUUAUCUUUUAAUAUAUAGAUGAUAAUAUUUUAUUUCAAGAAUUAAUGUAUACAUAUUUUUUCUAAAAAGUAAAAUUAAAAAUGUAAACUAAAACCAAUUCAGUCAACCAUAAAAUAACUACUCCAUAAAACAUCAUUGAUGACACAUUUUUUAGUAAAAUUAAAACUAAUAUAAAAAUAUCAAAAUAUAAAGUAUUUUGGAAACAUCUUAAACUUUCCAAAACACAAUCUAUUCCGGAGCGAAAAAGGGUGUAUUUGUUUUCCCACUUGAUGAUUAGUUGAUUACUCGUUUUUCAAAGUUCAAGCAGAAUUAUCAUUCAUGUUUUCUAGUAUUUGUUUAUUUUGGUAUGGUUUUGGUUAAAUCCAACAUGUUAAAUCUAUAAUUUGUAAACGGAAGCGUGAAGGAAAUACAUUAAAUACUAGUAUGACUUAGGAGUAGGGAGAUCAAAACACUAAUUAAUUAAUUAAACAAAAAAGAAAGGAAAAUAAAAGAGAGAAUUGAGUUGGAUUUGGAUUGGAUCUGUCUUUUUAUGUAAAAAAAAAAAAGAAAAAGGAAAAGGGGAAUAAAACGCCGACAAGAGUAACCAACCAACCAAUAGGUAACCAGAAAAAAAUCCAUUGCAAAGUUUUCUUACAGCCCUAAGAAGCCCCCUCCCAUCGUCCCGCGACCACCGCCCCAAUCAAUCAAAUCUCUGUCUGGAUCAGAGCCCUCCCUUCCUUCUUGUUCCCUCUCUUUCGUUGUGCUCUACGUGAUUGAUCUCUAGCUCGCUUCCUUCAUAGUUUCCGUAUUGGAAUCAGAGUCUGUUAUUGGGUUUGUCGGAUCGAAUUUUGGGAUUUAAAAUUAGGGUUUAUAGAGGAAGAAUCAACCGCCUAUGGCUCCGGGGCGUAAAAGAGGAGCGAGCAAGGCUAACGCCAAGGGGCAGUUGAUCCUCGGUGAUCUCGUUCUUGCCAAAGUCAAAGGCUUCCCUGCUUGGCCUGCUAAGAUUAGCCGGCCUGAAGAGUGGGAUCGUGCGCCUGACCCAAAGAAGUACUUUGUUAAGUUCUUUGGAACUCAGGAAAUAGCUUUUGUUGCACCGCCUGAUAUCCAAGCCUUCACUAAUGAGGCAAAGAGCAAGCUAUUAGCAAGAUGUCAAGGUAAAACACUCAAGUAUUUUUCGCAAGCUGUAACCGAAAUAUGCACCGCUUUUGAAGAGUUGCAGAACCGCAAGUCAUUGGAUCCUCUCGAUUCAGCGGAGGCUGAGACAUUGAGUGGAACAACAGAUCAUAUAGUCCCUAAAUUAGAUAAGAAUGAUGGUGACGAGACAAACGCUGAGACUGUGAAGAAGGAUUCAUCCCCGGGUAGUUCAUAUGACCCUAAAAUAAAGGAAGAAGAUUUUGAUAAAGGAGCUGGCGGUGAUGGUUUCACUAAUGGUCAAAAGAAUGUGGCGAGAACAAAGAAGGUAGCUGGUGGCUCGGACAAAGAUGGUGAUACAAUUCAUAGAGACAAAAGCAGUAACUCAAAAGCAGUAAUUAAGAGUGGGGUUUCAGGCAAGAAAAGAAGGCUUGAAAGUGAACUAGGGAAGCCUGCACCAAAAAGACUAGAUGAAAGCUCGCCUGCUGCUAAAAAACCACGAACUGAAGGUAAAAAUGGCAGCGUAAAGUGUGAAAUUGAUGAUGAAUCUGAUCCUACUGGGACUGGAUCAGAUAUUAAGCACGACCUUGUCGUUUUAGGAGGAAAUUUAAUGGUGGAGCAUGAUACCUCUCCUCCUUUUUCUGGGUCUCGUGGUAGAUCCGGGAAAGUUCAUCUGGAACAGAAAGACCGUUCCUCUCCUGUUGGUAACGUUAAGGUUCCAGUUGCACAGUCUCUGAAAAAACGGAGGGCUGUUUGCAUCUAUGACGAAGAUGAUGAUGAAGAUCCGAAAACCCCAUUACAUGGAAGUCGAGCUGCUGUUCCCAAAACAUCAGAAUUGACUGAUGGUCCCAAAAGUGGCAAUGCAUCUACUAAAGCUAAGGUAUCUGCUGGACCUACAGAGAGUACUCGAGUAAGGAAAGCACCUCUGCGUAAACAUUGCGAGGAUGCUUCACGUGUAUUAUCGGAAAACGUGGAGAAAUCUGCUAAUAGCUUACCCAUAGUGAAACCCAUCAAUGAGUUGCCGCCAAAGGAAGUCAAGCAGAUCGUUAAAUCUCCUAUGCUGUCUCCUCAGCUGGGUUCAUCUAACAAGCACGUUACAGCACAGCAAAAAGCUGCAAAGUCAUCUGUAAAAGUUUCUGGUGUUGUGAUGGCAAAGAAGCCUCAGAGUGAUUCUUUUAAGGAGGCAGUUAUGAAAUCUGAUAAAGUAAGCUCUUCUCUGUCUCAAUCUGAUCAGAGACACAAACCAGCUUCACUUAAAGAUAGGCCAAGAGACACUUCUGAGGACUUGUCUGCUGUGAUGCUUGAUGGCAACCGAGAAAAUUGGAGUGCUCCAUUUAUCAGUGCGAAGACCCCAGAUGCAGCUUCAUCUAUGAAGGAUCUAAUUGCAGCAGCACAGGCCAAAAGAAAACUAGCACAUUCACAAAAUUCAGUUUUUGGGAAUUUGAACCCUAGUUUCAUGAGCAUCAGCGAUGCGCAGAUGAGGAGCCAGAGCCCGUUUAUGGUUCAGAGUGCUUCAGCUUCUGCUGCCAUCGCAAUGCCUUUAGUUGUUGAAGGACAUGAACAGGAUUCUUCUCCGUCAAAUCAUGGGCAUCAGUCCUCAUCAAGAAAUCAAAAUGAGGUUGAUGAUAAUGAAGAGAGAAGACUUAGUUCAGGGCAUAAGUCAGCUGGAGGUUCACUUAGUGGUGGUACUGAGGCGGCUGUUUCCCGAGAUGCUUUUGAAGGGAUGAUAGAGACCUUAUCAAGAACUAAGGAAAGUAUUGGACGUGCAACACGCCUAGCAAUUGAUUGUGCUAAGUAUGGGAUUGCUAGUGAGGUGGUGGAACUUCUCAUACGAAAGUUGGAAAGUGAACAUCAAUUGCAUCGUAAAGUGGACUUGUUCUUUCUCGUUGACUCUAUCACCCAGUGUUCGCACAACCAAAAAGGUAUUGCUGGUGCUUCAUACGUUCCUACUGUGCAAGCUGCUUUGCCACGUCUUUUAGGUGCUGCUGCUCCUUCAGGGAUCGAUGCUCGUGACAAUCGUCGUAAAUGUCUGAAGGUUCUGAGGUUGUGGCUUGAUAGGAAAAUUUUCCCUGAAUCUCUUCUGCGUCGUUAUAUUGAUGAUAUUGGAGCUUCUGGCGAUGAUGGAACCGUUGGGAUUUCCCUGCGACGUCCUUCUAGAUCUGAGCGUUCUGUAGAUGAUCCUAUCAGAGAAAUGGAAGGGAUGCAUGUUGAUGAGUAUGGCAGCAAUGCAACUAUUCAGCUGCCUGGGUUUUUCUCUUCUCAUACCUUUGAGGAUGAAGAAGAAGAAGAUGACGAUCGUCCAAUAUCACAAAAAGCAAAAAGCACAUCUUCUGGGGAACCUUUUGACUUGGAAAUACGUGAUACUUCAAGUGAUAGAGACCAUCGAGUUUUGGAGGAUGUAGAUCGUGAUCUUGAAAUGGCAGAUGUAUCUGGUGAGGGGAAAGAUGUAGCACCUUCCGCUAUCUGUGAGAAUGAGUCACUGAAUGUUAGUGAACCAGUUGCGGAAAAGUCAACUGGGGUGCCUCCUCUUUCAGAGGAUUCUCCUCCGCUACCUCACGAAUCACCCCCAUCUCCCCCUCCUCUACCUCCUUCUCCACCACCUCCGUCUCCACCUCCUCCGCCUUCAUCUCCGCCUCCGUUGCUGCCACCACCACCUCCCACAGCGCAGAUCCCACCUCUUCCUUCACCCUUGUCUCAGCCUCCACCACCACCGCCCCUUACACCUCCACCUUCACCUCCACCCCCACCUCCACCGCCUGCACAAUCUAUAGCUUUACCAACUCAACCAUCCAUAGCCAGCCAUCAUCAAUUACCACCUCAGUUAGGAUUUCCUCCGCCAGCAUAUCCAUUAUCGCAUCAAACAUACCCAGGAUCUAUGCAGCUAGACCGCUGUAGCAUUUUCACUGGCGAUCAAAUUGUUCAAGGGCCUGGAAGUUCUUCUUCACGUGGAAGUCACGUGCAGCAGUCAUAUAAUUUUAAUCCUGAAGCUUCUUCACAGAACCAACGGUUUCAGCCGAACACCACUCUCUCCCAAAGACCUAUGGUUAGGAAUCCGCCUUUAGUACCGUCCGGUCAUUUUCCGUAUCCAAGCCAUGUUCAAUCUCAAUCCCCGCAUACCUACACUCAUCCUUACUCUUUCCCACCUCAACGUGAUGAUGGACGGCGAUAUAGAGAUGAGGAACCAUGGCGGAUGUCUUCAAGUGGGCGUAGUGCAGAAAACCAGAGUGGUGCCUGGAUACGUGGAAGACAUUCACAUCCAGGCCUUCCUAGAGUCACAGACAGUAUAUUUCUUUCGGCCACCUUCAGUGACAGUGAGCUAUCAACCUUCUUCUGCUAGUAACUUACAAGCUAUCCCGGCAAUUCCAGGUCAUACUGCUCCCCAGAUGCUACCGUCUCGGCCAGACCUGCCUGCCGGGAAUUGCUGGCGGCCAGCUUGAAGUGAGGCUAGAAUUUCGUUGGCCUGCUCCUGUUAGUAUCAAGGAUAAAGAAGCUGCUAAUGUCUCAUUAACAAGGCUAAUCCUCUAGCCAUGUCUCGGUGCCUCGUAUUUUUAGCAGGAACGAGAAGCAUGUGUGUCUAAGCAGUUUUGAGUUUAAUCAGUCCAUGUUACAACAAUCUCCAUAUUGCUAUUUGUGCACUGCUGAUCUGAAGAAGUAUGUAGAAGACUUGUGAGUUGCGAGAAAAUAUAGUGUUGUCGUGCGACAGGCUUUUGAUGCAUAACUGAACCGCCUAGAUCGAUGGCAAGGCGGUCCUGAUGAGAUUAUGCAAAAAGCUUGGUGUGUUGGAGUUCUGAGUUUGGUUCGGGAGCUGAGAAGAUUGUAGUUUCUCAAGUUGGGAGGUUAGUUUUGUCGUCACUGAUAAUCAUUAAUCAGGACCACCUUGUUGAGACUCUUGAGCAUAGAGUAAGUAAGAUAAUCCCAAAUCAUUCUCUAGAAACUAGAUGUUUGUAUAUUAUACGCUUUACCAAAAGUGAAAAAAACUGUUCUUGUAACCAAAAGAUCAAGUCUUGUUCUAUUACAGAUUGUUUUUACUCAA